Molecule: transfer RNA, 73 nt
Filed under: Myotis davidii
Lineage: Eukaryota; Metazoa; Chordata; Mammalia; Chiroptera; Vespertilionidae
Rfam family: tRNA
About the family: Transfer RNA (tRNA) molecules are approximately 80 nucleotides in length. Their secondary structure includes four short double-helical elements and three loops (D, anti-codon, and T loops).
Source: Rfam by way of RNAcentral
GCUGUUUUGGCUCAGUGGAUAGAGCGUCAGACUGUAGACUGAAGGGUCACAGGUUCAAUUCCAGUCAAGGGCA